RNAcentral lists this transfer RNA (73 nucleotides) under Camelus bactrianus (Bactrian camel). It matches the Rfam family "tRNA". From Rfam's summary of the family: Transfer RNA (tRNA) molecules are approximately 80 nucleotides in length. Their secondary structure includes four short double-helical elements and three loops (D, anti-codon, and T loops). The record is from Rfam by way of RNAcentral. Lineage: Eukaryota; Metazoa; Chordata; Mammalia; Artiodactyla; Camelidae. RNAcentral also lists the same sequence under 3 other names.
GAGAGUGUAGCUCAGUGGUAGAGUGCAGUGUUUAGCAUGCACAAGGUCCUGGGUUCAAUCCCCAGUACCUCCA